RNAcentral lists this ribosomal RNA (497 nucleotides) under uncultured bacterium. RNAcentral describes it as "partial 16S ribosomal RNA". It matches the Rfam family "Bacterial small subunit ribosomal RNA", at positions 28 to 507 of the family's 1533-position model. The record is from RNAcentral.
GAUGAACGCUGGCGGCGUGCCUAAUACAUGCAAGUCGAGCGAACAGACGAGGAGCUUGCUCCUCUGACGUUAGCGGCGGACGGGUGAGUAACACGUGGAUAACCUACCUAUAAGACUGGGAUAACUUCGGGAAACCGGAGCUAAUACCGGAUAAUAUAUUGAACCGCAUGGUUCAAUAGUGAAAGACGGUUUUGCUGUCACUUAUAGAUGGAUCCGCGCCGCAUUAGCUAGUUGGUAAGGUAACGGCUUACCAAGGCAACGAUGCGUAGCCGACCUGAGAGGGUGAUCGGCCACACUGGAACUGAGACACGGUCCAGACUCCUACGGGAGGCAGCAGUAGGGAAUCUGACGCAAUGGGCGAAAGCCUGACGGAGCAACGCCGCGUGAGUGAUGAAGGUCUUCGGAGCGUAAAACUCUGUUAUUAGGGAAGAACAAAUGUGUAAGUAACUAUGCACGUCUUGACGGUACCUAAUCAGAAAGCCACGGCUAACUACGUG